Molecule: non-coding RNA, 263 nt
Organism: Chiloscyllium plagiosum (whitespotted bambooshark)
Lineage: Eukaryota; Metazoa; Chordata; Chondrichthyes; Orectolobiformes; Hemiscylliidae
Source: RefSeq, a predicted model, not a curated record
GGAAAAUUAUGAGCAGCCAGGAUUCCAAACAGAUGAAUAAGGCGUUUCCCCACAAUCUGCCUCGAGGUUCAACCAUUGCUGAGAAGGGUACUUUUCUCAACUUUGUACUUUGAAGGAGGCAUUACCACAGCACCGUCUGCUUGCGUUUUAAAUGCAGACACAGAAUAAUAUCAGGACAGAAUGCAUGACCCUAAAAUGACAAUAUAAUAAAAUAUGCAAGAUCAGCUCCAACUCUCUUUAGAUGCUUGAUGACCAGGUGCUAA